This 811-nucleotide ribosomal RNA is filed under the name Bacteroidetes bacterium SCGC AAA041-L03. Its description in RNAcentral is "bacterial SSU rRNA". It matches the Rfam family "Bacterial small subunit ribosomal RNA", at positions 66 to 874 of the family's 1533-position model. The record is from RNAcentral. Lineage: Bacteria; Pseudomonadati; Bacteroidota.
GGGCAGCAUGAAGUAGCAAUACUUUGAUGGCGACCGGCAAACGGGUGCGGAACACGUACACAACCUUCCUUUUAGUGGGGAAUAGCCCAGAGAAAUUUGGAUUAAUACCCCGUAACAUAACGAUGUGGCAUCACAUUGUUAUUAUAGCUUCGGCGCUAGAUGAUGGGUGUGCGUAUGAUUAGAUAGUUGGCGAGGUAACGGCUCACCAAGUCUACGAUCAUUAGCUGAUGUGAGAGCAUGAUCAGCCACACGGGCACUGAGACACGGGCCCGACUCCUACGGGAGGCAGCAGUAAGGAAUAUUGGUCAAUGGACGCAAGUCUGAACCAGCUAUGCCGCGUGAAGGAUUAAGGUCCUCUGGAUUGUAAACUUCUUUUAUCUGGGACGAAAAAAGGCCUUUCUAGGCUUCUUGACGGUACCAGAUGAAUAAGCACCGGCUAACUCCGUGCCAGCAGCCGCGGUAAUACGGAGGGUGCAAGCGUUAUCCGGAUUCACUGGGUUUAAAGGGUGCGUAGGCGGGCAGGUAAGUCAGUGGUGAAAUCCUGGAGCUCAACUCCAGAACUGCCAUUGAUACUAUCUGUCUUGAAUAUUGUGGAGGUAAGCGGAAUAUGUCAUGUAGCGGUGAAAUGCUUAGAUAUGACAUAGAACACCCAUUGCGAAGGCAGCUUACUACGCAUAUAUUGACGCUGAGGCACGAAAGCGUGGGGAUCAAACAGGAUUAGAUACCCUGGUAGUCCACGCCCUAAACGAUGGAUACUCGACAUACGCGAUACACUGUGUGUGUCUGAGCGAAAGCAUUAAGUAUCCCACCU